UUGCGUUUCUCAGUAGCGUCUGCUUGGAUUCACAAAUCACCCCUGUUUUGGAGAGCUCAUUUCUCCCAUUCCAGGGGGACUGCCCGAAAAACUCAAUCUACAUAAUCUUGGACGGCAACCUCAGAGGUUUUCUCUGCGCUUGGGUAUCGAAUUGAUCGCUGGAGUACUUGUGAAGAGCUUACUGUGUGCCAAGCACUGGACUAAAUGCUGGAGUCGAGACAAGGUUUUCUUACAGGAAACACUCUUCUCAGCGGUUCCUCUUCAGUCUGUGCAUAUCUGAUUUCUGCCCUCAGUCAUUGAUUUGGAUGUGUGACUCACAAUUUGCCAGAGGCCGCUCGCUUUCCGCCAGGAUCUCCAGGCCAAGCCUGACAGUGAUGCGCCAGAAGUGAUUUUUAAGGGCCCGUGGGGUUAAAGAACGUCAUACCGGCUACUUCAUUUCUUUUAGAAUAGAUCGUGUAACUCUGAAAACUAGUUUAGUAGUGCACUUUGGGCAAGUCAUUUAACUGCGCUGUGCCUCAGUUUCCUCAUCUGUAAAAUGGGGAUUAUAAACUUGUCCUC
Molecule: long non-coding RNA, 558 nt
Organism: Ornithorhynchus anatinus (platypus)
Lineage: Eukaryota; Metazoa; Chordata; Mammalia; Monotremata; Ornithorhynchidae
Exons: 3
Source: RefSeq, a predicted model, not a curated record